UGAGUACGAGAUGCUACGGCAUCGAAGCAGUCUAUGUCAUACUUCCAAGAAAAGCUUGCAAUGUCAUAAACAAAUAAUGCCUGUACCAUAACCGACACAGGUGGGUAGGUAGAGUAUACUAAGGGGCGCGAGAUAACUCUCUCUAAGGAACUCGGCAAAAUGACUCCGUAACUUCGGGAGAAGGAGUGCCUUAUUUUUAUAAGGUUGCAAUAACAAGAUCCAAGCAACUGUUUACCAAAAACACAGGUCUCCGCUAAGUCGUAAGACGAUGUAUGGGGGCUGACGCCUGCCCAGUGCCAGAAGGUUAAAGAAGUUGGUUAGCAUUAGCGAAGCUGAUAACUGAAGCCCUGGUGAACGGCGGCCGUAACCAUAACGGUCCUAAGGUAGCGAAAUUCCUUGUCGGGUAAGUUCCGACCCGCACGAAAGGCGUAAUGAUUUGGAUACUGUCUCGGAGAGGGGCUCGGUGAAAUAGACUUGUCUGUGAAGAUGCGGACUACCUGCACCUGGACAGAAAGACCCUAUGAAGCUUUACUGUAACUUGAGAUUGAAAUUGGACUUUAUCUGCGCAGUAUAGGUGGGAGACGUUGAAAAUAUUCUUGCGGGAAUAUUGGAGUCAUCAGUGAGAUACCACUCUUAUAAUGUUAGAUUUCUAACUUUGUAUCAUUAUCUGGUCAAAGAACAGUUUCAGGCGGGCAGUUUGACUGGGGCGGUCGCCUCCCAAACGGUAACGGAGGCGCACAAAGGUUUCCUCUGAACGUGUAGAAAUCGUAUCUAGAGUGUAAAGGCAUAAGGAAGCUUGACUGUGAGACCUACAAGUCGAGCAGGGACGAAAGUCGGUCUUAGUGAUCUGACGGUGCUGAGUGGAAAGGCCGUCACUCAACGGAUAAAAGUUACUCUAAGGAUAACAGGCUGAUCUCCCCCAAGAGUUCACAUCGACGGGGAGGUUUGGCACCUCGAUGUCGGCUCAUCGCAUCCUGGGGCGGUAGUACGUCCCAAGGGUUGGGCUGUUCGCCCAUGAAAGCGGUACGCGAGCUGGGUUCAGAACGUCGUGAGACAGUUCGGUCCAUAUCCGGUGUAGGCGUUAGAAUAUUGAGAGGAGCCUUCUUUAGUACGAGAGGACCGAGAAGGACAUACCUCUGGUGUACCAGUUAUCGUGCCAACGGUAAACGCUGGGUAGCCAUGUAUGGAGAGGAUAACCGCUGAAAGCAUCUAAGUGGGAAGCCCACCUCAAGAUAAG
RNAcentral lists this ribosomal RNA (1237 nucleotides) under metagenome. RNAcentral describes it as "bacterial LSU rRNA". It matches the Rfam family "Bacterial large subunit ribosomal RNA", at positions 1564 to 2808 of the family's 2925-position model. The record is from RNAcentral.